Molecule: long non-coding RNA, 1017 nt
Filed under: Piliocolobus tephrosceles (Ugandan red Colobus)
Lineage: Eukaryota; Metazoa; Chordata; Mammalia; Primates; Cercopithecidae
Description: lncRNA (ENSPTEG00000008379.1)
Source: RNAcentral
UUUUAAACAAUUAUGUGCAAGAUAUUGUGUUAUGUAAAUCUAGUUAUAUUGAUAUAUACAAAUAUUGUAAAGAAAGAAAUAUAUUAUUUAUUAAUGAUGAGGUUGAUUAUGUGGAUAAAAAUAAAAAAGUUAUAUAUUUUUUAUCUAAUAGGAAUUGUUUAAAUUAUGAUUUUUUGCUUUGCGAUUUUGAUUAUACAAGCAAUUUUUUAAUGAAUAGUGACAUGAACCAUAACAAUAUAUAUACAUUUAAAAAUAAAAAUUUAUUUUUUUAUUAUAUACAUAUUAUAUAUUUAUGUUUAAUUAAAUCACAAAAAAACGGUAACACUGAUAUCGCUUCUUAUGAAAUAUUAAAAAAAUCACUUUUAAAAAAAAUCAAAGUUCAAAGGUUUUUUAAUUUUGUUUCUUACGAUGAUGGAUAUGUGGAUGCGAUAUUUGACAUGUAUAAUAAUGUUGAGGUAGGUUUGGAUUUGAAUGAAGGCGGUAUUGAUAAUGUUAGUAGUAGUAGUAGUGGUAGUGGUAGUGGUAGUAAUGGUAAUGGUAAUAGUAGUAGUAUUAGUAGUAGUAUUAGUAUUAGUAGUAGUAUUAGUAUUAGUAGUGGUAUUAGUAGUAGUAGUAGUAGUAGUAUUGGUAAUAUAUCCAUAUACAACGAUGAUACACCGAACAACACAGUUAUGUCCAAUACAAGUGACACCCAAGGAAGGAACAACACGGACUCAAGUGACAAUAAAAAGAAUAACGUAAACGAUAAAAAGGAUACGUAUUUUGAAUUUUUAUUAUUGUGUGAUAAUAAUAUAGCUGGUAAAAAAUUAUAUUAUUGCAUACAGGAAUAUAUAAAAAAAAUAAACGUAAAUGUUAAAUUAUUGUACAUAUAUAUAACAAAUAAUACGAACAUAAAAAGUGUUGAUUUUUGUAAUGAUUAUGUAAUUGUUAAAGAAAUAAAAAGUGUGACAGACAUAAGUUGUAAUAGUUUAAAAAAUAAAGUAAGUGAAAAAAAAAAGGCAUUAGUAUGUAUUGAUA